This 76-nucleotide transfer RNA is filed under the name Clostridium perfringens. RNAcentral describes it as "tRNA-Ile". It matches the Rfam family "tRNA". From Rfam's summary of the family: Transfer RNA (tRNA) molecules are approximately 80 nucleotides in length. Their secondary structure includes four short double-helical elements and three loops (D, anti-codon, and T loops). Lineage: Bacteria; Bacillati; Bacillota; Clostridia; Eubacteriales; Clostridiaceae. The record is from RNAcentral.
GGAGAUAUAGCUCAGUUGGUAGAGUCAUAGUCUGAUGUGCUAAAGGUUAAAGGUUCGAGUCCUUUUAUCUCCACCA